This 422-nucleotide ribosomal RNA is filed under the name uncultured Alphaproteobacteria bacterium. Its description in RNAcentral is "bacterial SSU rRNA". It matches the Rfam family "Bacterial small subunit ribosomal RNA", at positions 32 to 502 of the family's 1533-position model. Lineage: Bacteria; Pseudomonadati; Pseudomonadota; Alphaproteobacteria. The record is from RNAcentral.
AACGCUGGCGGCAGGCCUAACACAUGCAACUCGAGCGCGCCUUCGGGUGAGCGGCGGACGGGUUAGUAACGCGUGGGAACGUGCCCUUCUCUACGGAAUAGCCUCUGGAAACGGAGAGUAAUACCGUAUACGCCCUUUGGGGGAAAGAUUUAUCGGAGAAGGAUCGGCCCGCGUUAGAUUAGGUAGUUGGUGGGGUAACGGCCUACCAAGCCUACGAUCUAUAGCUGGUUUUAGAGGAUGAUCAGCAACACUGGGACUGAGACACGGCCCAGACUCCUACGGGAGGCAGCAGUGGGGAAUCUUAGACAAUGGGGGCAACCCUGAUCUAGCCAUGCCGCGUGAGUGAUGAAAGCCUUAGGGUCGUAAAGCUCUUUCGCCUGUGAUGAUAAUGACAGUAGCAGGUAAAGAAACCCCGGCUAACU